GAGUUCUUUUAUGUGUCUUCUUGGAUCUCGUCUAUGUAAAAGGAUUGGAUUGGGACUCAUUUGAAGCUUUGGUUAUAAAUCGUUUACACAACUUUUGGACAUUUUUCAUAGCUCUUUGGUUAGAUGGUAUAUAUUUUUGAAUUGGAGUAUUUAUUGUGUUUUGAUGAAGCAAUAUUGUACAUGGGAUCAUGCUUAUUGACUUAAAU
Molecule: long non-coding RNA, 206 nt
Filed under: Olea europaea (common olive)
Lineage: Eukaryota; Viridiplantae; Streptophyta; Magnoliopsida; Lamiales; Oleaceae
Description: long non-coding RNA (OEUR_LNC001724)
Source: RNAcentral